RNAcentral lists this non-coding RNA (95 nucleotides) under pig gut metagenome. RNAcentral's name for it is "THF riboswitch". It matches the Rfam family "THF (Tetrahydrofolate) riboswitch aptamer". From Rfam's summary of the family: THF riboswitch presents a pseudoknot that joins P1-P2 and the loop of P3 and two THF binding. The record is from RNAcentral.
CAGAGUAAGGACAGUGCGUCAAGUGCCGGCGGAUGGGAUGUUGCCGUCGGACGAAAAGCCCUGGAGGCUUGCGUUGCUGCUCCUGCGUCCGCUGC